GACGAACGCUGGCGGCGUGCUUAACACAUGCAAGUCGAACGGAAAGAGAUGAAAGAGCUUGCUCUUUUAUUAAUUUCAGUGGCAAACGGGUGAGUAACACGUAAACAACCUGCCUUAAGGAUGGGGAUAACAGACGGAAACGACUGCUAAUACCGAAUACGUUCUAAGCAUCGCAUGGUGCAUAGAAGAAAGGGUGGCCUCUACAAGAAAGCUAUCGCCUUAAGAGGGGUUUGCGACUGAUUAGGUAGUUGGUGAGGUAACGGCUCACCAAGCCGACCAUCAGUAGCCGGUCUGAGAGGAUGAACGGCACACUGGAACUGAGACACGGUCCGACUCCCACGGGAGGCACCGUGGGCAAUCUUCCGCCUGGAUACAGUCUGACCCACCCCGCCUCGUGAACCACCAGGCCUUCGGAUUGUUCACUUCCGCGAUUCCGGACCAAACGCUUCGUGGUCAACACUCCUAGCUAUUCACGUCCCCCCACCCCAUCCCCCGCUCCCACUCGCGACCCCCAUCCUUUAUUACCCACGUGCCCACCCUCCCCCCCGCCUCCCUCGCCGCCAUCCCCUUCCACGCACUCUUCCCUCUUUU
This 591-nucleotide ribosomal RNA is filed under the name uncultured Facklamia sp. RNAcentral's name for it is "bacterial SSU rRNA". The stretch from base 12 to 391 matches the Rfam family "Bacterial small subunit ribosomal RNA", at positions 39 to 400 of the family's 1533-position model. Lineage: Bacteria; Bacillati; Bacillota; Bacilli; Lactobacillales; Aerococcaceae. The record is from RNAcentral.